This 683-nucleotide ribosomal RNA is filed under the name Canalirogas sp. BIOUG16313-D09. Its description in RNAcentral is "partial 28S ribosomal RNA". It matches the Rfam family "Eukaryotic large subunit ribosomal RNA", at positions 389 to 777 of the family's 3401-position model. Lineage: Eukaryota; Metazoa; Arthropoda; Insecta; Hymenoptera; Braconidae. The record is from RNAcentral.
UUCAGAGUACGUGAAACCGUUCAGGGGUAAACCUGAGAAACCCAAAAGAUCGAAUUGGGAGAUUCAUCGUCAGCUCAUUUUGUAUAUAUAUAUGUUAUGAUACGAGUUAUUAUUUAACGAUAAUAUUGCUUGUACAUUCAUAUAUAUUUAGUUGCAAGAUGUUGUCGGCGUGCACUUCUUCCAUAGUAGAACGUCGCGACCCGUUGGGCAUUGGUCUACGGCUCAAGUGGAUAAGUCUUUAAUAAUAAUUUAUUUAUUAUUAAAGUCCCUUGAUGUUUUCUGACCAAUUACUCGGCGGUACACUUAAAUGGUAUUAAGCCGCAUAUUUUAUGCGUCUAUUCCCGUCGCAAGCGAGGCCAAUUACUGAUAUUACCGAACUUAGUUUCGUUUAUCUGGUAUUGGCCAGCUGUUGGUUGUUACGGUGUUCUAAGACUGGCUUAAAAAAAAAUUCAAUAAUAAUACCGGUCGGCGAUGCUACUGCUUUGGGUACUUUCAGGACCCGUCUUGAAACACGGACCAAGGAGUCUAACAUGUACGCAAGUCAUUGGGAUAUUUUUUUUUAAAUUAAACCUAAAGGCAUAAUGAAAGUAAAGAUCGUCCUUGCGUCGAUUGAGGGAAGAUGAGUUAUAUUAUAAAGUUGAAAAAUUUUUUUAUAGCUCCGCAUUCCCGGGGCGUCUCAUUCU